Molecule: non-coding RNA, 203 nt
Organism: Chelonoidis abingdonii (Abingdon island giant tortoise)
Lineage: Eukaryota; Metazoa; Chordata; Testudines; Testudinidae
Source: RefSeq, a predicted model, not a curated record
CUCCACCUGGAAAGGGUCUUUGAGCACAUCAGGUAGGCAGGACUAACUGUUAAGGCCAAAAAAUGUCAAAUAGGCCAAAACAGAGUGACUUACCUGGGACACCAGUUGGGUCGAGGAAUCAUAAACCCCCUAUGGACCAAAGUGGAUGCUAUCCAAAAGUGGCUGGUCCCAAAGUCAAAGAAACAGGUCCAAUCCUUCUUAGG